Triticum aestivum (bread wheat) is the source of this 135-nucleotide non-coding RNA. Lineage: Eukaryota; Viridiplantae; Streptophyta; Magnoliopsida; Poales; Poaceae. The record is from Rfam.
CAAAUAUUACCCUGUCCUAAGAUUCUUGUCUUAGAUUUGUUUUAAAUGUGGAUGUAUCUAACACUAAAACGUGACUAGAUACAUUCGUAUUUAGAUAAAUCUAAGACAAGAAUUUUGGGACUGAGGGAGUAUACA